RNAcentral lists this long non-coding RNA (226 nucleotides) under Elaeis guineensis (African oil palm). Its description in RNAcentral is "long non-coding RNA (EGUI_LNC066972)". Lineage: Eukaryota; Viridiplantae; Streptophyta; Magnoliopsida; Arecales; Arecaceae. The record is from RNAcentral.
UGAUUAUUUUUGGAAACAAGUAGUUAAAUUUAUUUUAAAAAAAAUCAAUUCAUCUCCUCUCUUUGGUUGCUGCCUCUAGGAAGCAAUGAGAAAUCCUACAAUCAUUCUCUCAAGUUUGCAUUUGUAUGAAUUGUACUGAGCAUUUUGGCAUCAUCAAAAUAAAUCCUUGGGUCAAUAUUCUCUAUCACUCUAAGUUGCAAAAAGAGAAUUAUAUUCAUCACACCCC